This 484-nucleotide ribosomal RNA is filed under the name uncultured bacterium. Its description in RNAcentral is "partial 16S ribosomal RNA". It matches the Rfam family "Bacterial small subunit ribosomal RNA", at positions 30 to 507 of the family's 1533-position model. The record is from RNAcentral.
AUUGAACGCUGGCGGCAGGCCUAACACAUGCAAGUCGAGCGGAUGAAGGGAGCUUGCUCCUGGAUUCAGCGGCGGACGGGUGAGUAAUGCCUAGGAAUCUGCCUGGUAGUGGGGGAUAACGUCCGGAAACGGGCGCUAAUACCGCAUACGUCCUGAGGGAGAAAGUGGGGGAUCUUCGGACCUCACGCUAUCAGAUGAGCCUAGGUCGGAUUAGCUAGUUGGUGGGGUAAAGGCCUACCAAGGCGACGAUCCGUAACUGGUCUGAGAGGAUGAUCAGUCACCUUGGAACUGAGACACGGUCCAGACUCCUACGGGAGGCAGCAGUGGGGAAUAUUGGACAAUGGGCGAAAGCCUGAUCCAGCCAUGCCGCGUGUGUGAAGAAGGUCUUCGGAUUUUAAAGCACUUUAAGUUGGGAGGAAGGGCAGUAAGUUAAUACCUUGCUGUUUUGACGUUACCAACAGAAUAAGCACCGGCUAACUUCGUG